Molecule: ribosomal RNA, 492 nt
Filed under: uncultured bacterium
Lineage: Bacteria
Description: partial 16S ribosomal RNA
Rfam family: Bacterial small subunit ribosomal RNA
Source: RNAcentral
AGUGAACGCUGGCGGUAGGCCUAACACAUGAAAGUCGAACGGCAGCACAGUAAGAUCUUGCUCUUACGGGUGGCGAGUGGCGGACGGGUGAGGAAUACAUCGGUAUCUACUUUUUCGUGGUGGCUUACGUAGGGCAACUUACGCUAAUACCGCAUUCUACCUACGGGUGAAUGAAGGGGAUCUUCCGACCUUGCUCGCUUUUAUGAGCCGAUGUCGGAUUAGCUAGUUGGUAGGGUAACGGCCUACCAAGGCAACGAUGCGUAGCUGGCCUGAGAGGAUGAUCGGCCACACUGGAACUGAGACACGGUCCAGACUCCUACGGGAGGCAGCAGUAGGGAAUAUUGCGCAAUGGGCGAAAGCCUGACGGAGCAACACCGCGUGAGUGAUGAAGGUCUUCGGAUCGUAAAGCUCUGUUAUUAGGGAAGAACAAAUGUGGAAGUAAAUAUGGAUGUCUUGACGGUACCUAAUCAGAAAGCAACGGCUAACUACGUG